GAGACGUCCCAGAGCAGUUCUGGGACCAGUCUCAGUUUCACAGGUGGCAAAUGGUGAGGAAGGAAGGGCUGGAAGGAGAGGAACAGCUCUGUGAAUAGAGAUCAGAACACUAACAUCCAAUAAAAAGGAGACUAUACCUCUGAUGAAUAUUUUUGUGCAAAGUUUAAUCUCCUCAGCUGUAAUUCUAAGCAAAAAUCAAAAUAAACCAUAAAAUAAAUAGAGCUUUUUAAGAAUUGUAUGCUGAUUGCUGAUGUAAUUUCUUCUUUUGAUUUGUCCUUACAAUAUUUUUUCUUUUUUUCUUUUUUUUUUUUCUCCAGCUACAGGAAUCCCAGUUUCAGUGGAAAAAGAAACUCCCGACCUGCCAAAAUACAAGUUUUCAGGUUACCGAAGCCUCUACGGAAACCAAAAGGAAGAGACCCUGCUCCCCAGCCUGAGAAGCAGCAGAGGAGGUUUAUUACGGAGUAUGAAAAUCAGGAAGCUUUUUGUUCACUUCAUACAUCUCCUCCAACAAAGCCAGGCAUCAGCACCCCGGCACAGACUCCGGAGUGAUUAUUGUUACACAUGAUCUAUGGAGCAGAUAAAUUACAGCUUGAUUUUUAUAAGAGGCGCCGGAGCCCCGGAAAGCGGUGGGGUAGAGCUGUGAAUCCUAGCAACAGGAGGAGAGAGAGAACUGUACGUUUCUUCACGUCCUCCAAGCGCUGGUGCCUUCUGGUACAUCAUUUACAGGGAGCAACAGAGACCUUGGAAAGGCCCUUCAUGCCGUUACAUCAAGAAAGGGACAGUUUUCCCAGCAGGGUGGGUGAAUUAUUACAUUUUGGGGGAAAAAGCAAACAAAGCAGCACACCAGAGCUCAUCCUGGUGCUGCCGUUGCGCUUUCCUUCAUCAUCACGCGCUGCCUAUCGUUGAGGGGUUUUCUCAAUUUUCUAUGCUUUUAGU
This 936-nucleotide long non-coding RNA is filed under the name Calidris pugnax (ruff). RNAcentral describes it as "lncRNA (ENSCPUG00000008299.1)". The record is from RNAcentral. Lineage: Eukaryota; Metazoa; Chordata; Aves; Charadriiformes; Scolopacidae.